This 1286-nucleotide long non-coding RNA is filed under the name Sparus aurata (gilthead seabream). RNAcentral's name for it is "lncRNA (ENSSAUG00010014969.1)". Lineage: Eukaryota; Metazoa; Chordata; Actinopteri; Spariformes; Sparidae. The record is from RNAcentral.
UACCUCUCUCAGACACACACACUUCUUCUUCAGUGGUUCAACGUGAGGGCGAGGUCAUACGUUUAACUCCGCCCACAUUGAGCCACUCCCCGAUCUGCGUACUGCAUCCAGGCCCAACUGUAUCCGUCUGCAGCCUGCAAGAGAGGGGCGCUGCCUGUGAGCGCACACACACGCACACACACACAUCGACGUCGACUAACUUUGGGGGUUUCCCGUCAGAUGCUGAUAUGAUCCCCCGGCCGUGCCAAUCCAGAAGCGUUUCUGUUUGAGUAACUAAGAUCACAUCAGUGUUUGAUCCUAGACUGUAAGUUAUCUUUAUCACAGUCCUGCCAGAUUGGACUGGACUUUAUAAUUACAUCGUUGAAGAGAUACGAAUCAAGCCUCCAUCACACACCGACCUCAACUCGGGUCAAGAGAUCUACAGCGACCACUUCAAGAGGACAACAUUCCUUGUUUGGACCAGUGGCAUUCACACAUUCCGUCGACCAAGGCCUUCCCAGACGAUAGCUGCCAGCCCCAGAGCAAGGAUGGACGUUCCAGACCGGAAGAUAAUCGCCAGUCUUCUCAAGAAAAAACUGAAGAAAGAGAGGGCUCAUCUCAUCUCUGACAAAAAUGGUGUCUGCAUCAACUGUGACCAGGGCUUUGACAACGGGACACUUUCCUUGUUUGUGGAUAAAUCUGAGGUAUUGACAUUAUGAAUCUGCAACGUGUCCCGAUCAUCAUCUGCUGAAUCAGAUAAACCCAAUUUUGGUUGUUGUACCAAUGCGAGGCUAUGAUUUCUUGUCUUUUUCUUUUAGAAGAAAAAAGUAGUAAAUUUGAGAGUGGAAAACACCGAAAGGGUACCCGUGUUUUUCACCAAGUGCUUCCCACUGCACAGUCUCAAGUGCAUCACACUUAAAGAUGAGCUCAAUGUGACCAAGGACCACCCCCACCUUCUGCAACCAGGUAAUGUAAAAAAUAGUGUAUCUUAUUGACAUUACCAAUAGCAGAGAAAUUAUUGCCCCAUCCCAGAAGGAAUCAUCUGUUUGUCAAGGCAGAGUCUCAUCCAGAUAAAAGCAGCUGUAGCUGUAUGUUCAAGCUGUGCGUUACAGUCAGUCUUUGGCAAAUAAUCAUGUUUUGGUAUCAGAGCAGGAGCAACCAGGACAGAGGAGGUGCAUCUUCAGUGCAGAUGCUGCCAAAAGACAGAAGCAGUUUAUAUCCUUUAGUUGCUCAUGUCAAAAAGUUGUCUCUCAAGCUAGUGGUGAGCUUAAGAAGGGCGUAACUUCGCCUUCCUUCCAUGUCAUGGG